UAAAGCCCAACCAUCAGACUCACUGGACAAGCUCAAUAUUAAUGUUGCUGAAGCUAUCGCGCUGUGCAAUGGCAAUAUCGAUCCCACGCAACUCAAUUCCAUUGGUAAUCUACCGUAAAAUAUUUAUAAAAUGACGAAUCAAGGCAAUGGUAUUGCUUGCUGAGAAAAUAAGUUGAAAAAUUUGUACUUUAAUCAACCCAACGAAAGAAAGAGAUCAAGAUGUCACCUGGAGAAGCAUGAGAGGCGUCUUGUAGAAAGAGAGAACUGAGACUGAGAAGGCGAGCAGAGCGACGUGAGUGGAGAAAGCGACUUCUUGUUGAAUUUGGAAGCGAAAGAGGGCUGUAACCGAGACGAUAACCUGGAGACAAACUUCGAACAUGAGAACGCCAUUGAAUUUUGUUGGAUUCUACUCUACGCAUGUCAGCAUGGGCGCUUCGCAGAUGGUUCGCGACAGUGAUGUAAUGAUGACAUGGUUGUUAAGGAUUUGGGGCCCGGCCCAACAAUCAUACUUGCUUUUCCUUUUUUAAUUCGUAAAUUUUUAUGACGAUGGUCAAAUACAAAUACAGUUUUGGGUAAUUGAAAACAAAGAUCACUGACAGCACUAUUCUAUUCUGUCCUGCAGCUGAAACUGUAUCAUCAUUUCCUUAUAAAAAUUUCUCCCAAUUUCUUCUUCUUCUUCUUCACCAGAAGUGAGGCUGCUUUUAGCCUACUCAAGCAGUCAUGGCAAAGCCACAUGUCGCCUUGGAGGUUGGAAACGACGGUGUUGCUGUCAUCUCCAUGUUCAAUCCUCCUGUUAACGCCUUAGCUCUUCCAAUUAUUGCGGGCUUGAAGGAGAGGUUCGAUGAGGCCACAAGGA
Molecule: unclassified non-coding RNA, 856 nt
Filed under: Hevea brasiliensis (rubber tree)
Lineage: Eukaryota; Viridiplantae; Streptophyta; Magnoliopsida; Malpighiales; Euphorbiaceae
Source: RNAcentral